Molecule: ribosomal RNA, 201 nt
Filed under: uncultured bacterium
Lineage: Bacteria
Description: partial 16S ribosomal RNA
Rfam family: Bacterial small subunit ribosomal RNA
Source: RNAcentral
UACGUAGGGUGCGAGCGUUAAUCGGAAUUACUGGGCGUAAAGCGUGCGUAGGCGGUUCGUUGUGUCCGAUGUGAAAGCCCCGAGCUUAACUUGGGAAUGGCAUUGGAAACUGGCGGGCUGGAGUGUGGCAGAGGGGGGUGGAAUUCCACGUGUAGCAGCGAAAUGCGUAGAGAUGUGGAGGAACACCGAUGGCGAAGGCAG